RNAcentral lists this ribosomal RNA (282 nucleotides) under Triticum aestivum (bread wheat). RNAcentral's name for it is "partial small subunit ribosomal RNA". Lineage: Eukaryota; Viridiplantae; Streptophyta; Magnoliopsida; Poales; Poaceae. The record is from RNAcentral.
AUGGGCGCGCUGGUGCACGUGGGCGUGGAUCUGGCCGGGGCGGGCGCGGUGGCCUCCUGCCGCGCGGAUCUGGUGGCUUGGCCCGUGUGCGCCUGCGAGGUGCGCCGCAGGCGUGGGCGCGCGUGUGCUGCACGGAGGUGCCUCCCGUGGGCGGAUCCAGGUCUGCUGGGCGCGCUGGUGCGCGAGGGAGCUUCAAGGGCGCGGUUCUUGGCCAGAUGCGGGCGCGUGGUGGCGCGGGAAGCUGCUCAAGAGGCGCGGUGGUGCACCCGCUGGGUCGCGUGA